This 544-nucleotide ribosomal RNA is filed under the name Botrytis cinerea. Its description in RNAcentral is "eukaryotic LSU rRNA". The stretch from base 181 to 334 matches the Rfam family "5.8S ribosomal RNA". The record is from RNAcentral. Lineage: Eukaryota; Fungi; Ascomycota; Leotiomycetes; Helotiales; Sclerotiniaceae.
CUUCCGUAGGGGUGACCUGCGGAAGGAUCAUUACAGAGUUCAUGCCCGAAAGGGUAGACCUCCCACCCUUGUGUAUUAUUACUUUGUUGCUUUGGCGAGCUGCCUUCGGGCCUUGUAUGCUCGCCAGAGAAUACCAAAACUCUUUUUAUUAAUGUCGUCUGAGUACUAUAUAAUAGUUAAAACUUUCAACAACGGAUCUCUUGGUUCUGGCAUCGAUGAAGAACGCAGCGAAAUGCGAUAAGUAAUGUGAAUUGCAGAAUUCAGUGAAUCAUCGAAUCUUUGAACGCACAUUGCGCCCCUUGGUAUUCCGGGGGGCAUGCCUGUUCGAGCGUCAUUUCAACCCUCAAGCUUAGCUUGGUAUUGAGUCUAUGUCAGUAAUGGCAGGCUCUAAAAUCAGUGGCGGCGCCGCUGGGUCCUGAACGUAGUAAUAUCUCUCGUUACAGGUUCUCGGUGUGCUUCUGCCAAAACCCAAAUUUUUCUAUGGUUGACCUCGGAUCAGGUAGGGAUACCCGCUGAACUUAAGCAUAUCAAUAAGCGGAGGAAA